GACGAACGCUGGCGGCGUGCCUAAUACAUGCAAGUCGAACGCUUCUUUCCUCCCGAGUGCUUGCACUCAAUUGGAAAGAGGAGUGGCGGACGGGGGAGUAACACGUGGGUAACCUACCCAUCAGAGGGGGAUAACACUUGGAAACAGGUGCUAAUACCGCAUAACAGUUUAUGCCGCAUGGCAUAAGAGUGAAAGGCGCUUUCGGGUGUCGCUGAUGGAGGGACCCGCGGUGCAUUAGCUAGUUGGUGAGGUAACGGCUAACCAAGGCAACGAUGCAUCGCCGACCUGAGAGGGUGAUCGGCCACACUGGGACUGAGACACGGCCCAGACUCCUACGGGAGGCAGCAGUAGGGAAUCUUCGGCAAUGGACGGAAGUCUGACCGAGCAACGCCGCGUGAGUGAAGAAGGUUUUCGGAUCGUAAAACUCUGUUGUUAGAGAAGAACAAGGACGUUAGUAACUGAACGUCCCCUGACGGUAUCUAACCAGAAAGCCACGGCUAACUACGUGCCAGCCGCCGCGGUAA
Molecule: ribosomal RNA, 524 nt
Filed under: uncultured bacterium
Lineage: Bacteria
Description: partial 16S ribosomal RNA
Rfam family: Bacterial small subunit ribosomal RNA
Source: RNAcentral